Molecule: long non-coding RNA, 4203 nt
Filed under: Homo sapiens (human)
Lineage: Eukaryota; Metazoa; Chordata; Mammalia; Primates; Hominidae
Description: HSALNT0400290
Source: RNAcentral
ACUGGGGCCACUUGAGGGGGUCUUGUAGAAGAGGAAAACUUGUGGCGCAAUGGGAUGUCCAGGGACACAGAUAGCCAGGUGCUGGGCCUCAGGAUGGAAUCCAGCCACCCCUGCUGGGUGACACACAGUGACCUUCCUCAGGAGAGUGGAAGCUCUGCAGGGUGAGAAUGAAACAUGGGUGGUCAGUGGGGAUAAUAGGACCUACCUAGCUGGGCUGUUAUGAAGGCUAAACGAGGAAACACUUGUAAAGUUCUCAGAACUGUGCCUCGAACAAGCUUUGCAGAUUUGAUAUAGAAAUCCAGGAGAAAAUUCUAUGAGAAGAGCUCUUACCAUAUAAUGAAGACAAGACUUGAGCAAGACUUUGUAAUUUUCUACUAAUCAAAAUUCAAAGUAUGAGUCUUGACAGAAGCCAAACAAAGCCUCCUGCCUGGAACUCUGGAACUCUUCUCUUUUUGUUCUGAAGCCUUGGACCCAUCUUGCCUUUUGCUAUGAGUAAAGUUUACCGCAGAGGCUUGGUAUCUUAGUUUAGAGUUCACAUUUCUGGUUUUCGAUGGCUGUAGAUCAAUCCUAGUGGAAAACUCCACAAAGUGCAGAGAAAGUUGUCCUUGUGAAGUCACCUUGCAGAGGAGGAAAGCGGUCUCUAAAUAAGAAAUCUAUAUUCCAGUCUGACAGCUCGUACGGCGUGGGGUAUGAAUUUCUCCUCUGAAAGUCUGAUGGCCAUCCUUGUUCUUCCUCAGCAGGGCUGCCUGAGUAUCUUUGAGAAAUGCCCAAGGGUCCUCUUGAGGAAGGGGAUCGUCCAUUGGCACCUGGAGCCUUCCAUGGAAACUGGUUGGCUGGCUCUCCAUUUUACGCUAGAGUCAUCUCAGACAUCAGUUAGCUACCAAGGCAAGUCGUUAACAUGCAUGACAAUGAAUCCAGUCUUGGCAAUCAUCGUAAUUAAGUGUGCACACUGUAUCAGGGUGCUGAUUAAGUGGCUUCAAUUUUAUGGGUAUGAUUCCUAAUGAUCGUUCUUUUUACUGAUUAAGAUGCAUUAAGCCUCAGAGGACAUUGGGGAUUCCUAUGCACUUGGAAGGAGGAGACUGAAGCCACACAGUGUCUGGAAAGGAAAACCCUUGAUUAAUCACCAGAGAAGAGGAAAGGAAUUUUCUAAGGUGUUUUCUAAGCUGAGUUCAUCCCAAAGAUGUCAGAGUGCUAGAAAAGAGAUGACUCCAAACAAGUCCAACCUGACUAUGGCAUUUGAGAGUUGAAUGUGGCAUUGGAGCUUGUUUUGUUUUUGUUUUCCUGAAAAAAUUAACCAAGGGAAAUUUCAAAUUUUUCAGCCUGUCUAAAUACGGACAAAUGUCCCAAGAAGCUAAAAGCACCAGUAUAUGCCACCCUUGGUUCCUGUCCUCAUCCCUAUCCCUGCACAGUGUAGCUUUCACGAUUACCAACCAACACCCAUCAUCUCCUCUAACCAUCACCCAUGGGCAUCCUGCAAGACACAUACAAGAAAAUGACACCGCAUUUCACUUACCUGAAAUCAAUAUAGUACGACUGGAAAAAGAAAUAAAGGUUUAUCCCUUUGUCCUUCUCAUGUUUAAAAUACCCAUGGACUCAUACAUGACCCAGAAAAGGGAGCUCACAGCCAAAUUACAGAGAGGAGCAGAAGUUUGUCUUGGGUUUUGAGUUUUCUGAUGAGUUAAUGGAGGUGUGUGGGAUGUAGGGUAUUUUUAACACUUGAGAAGCCCCCAGCUUUGCUUCAUUCUCUGUCUCUCUCUCUCUGUCAUAAUCACCUCUCUUGCUAAAAGAGAAGCUCACCAUCCCAUAAGACACCAUGCCAGAAGCAGGGAUGUCCUCACCCAUCACCACCUCCUCUCUAAUCUCACUGCCCCACUUCCCCUCCAUAACCUGCUCCUCCUCCCCUCCUCUCCCGUCCCCUCCGCUCCGCUCCCUUCCCUUCCCCUUCCCUCUCCUCCCAUCCUCUUCCUCACUGUCUUUCUAGCAUAUCCACUUCUCUAUCCCCAUUGAUGUGACUUUAGCAGGAUCCUCAUUCACAACUUCAGCUAUUGCAUUUUCUCCCAACUGGGCUCCUGCUUCUUUUCUUAUGGGAUCAUAAUCCCUCCUUCAUUCAGCAACCAAGAUGAAUUUUAUGUUGUACAAAUAUGGUUAUAUUCACUCCUUGUUUAAAGUAAAUGCCUCUUAAUUUCCUGGGUAUAAAGCAAAAAUACAUUAGCUUAGCUUAGAAGUCUUCCAUGGUCAGCAUCUCUCUGCCCCCAGCACUCUCUGACUUCCAGCCAUAGAGACAUUCCUGCAAUGUCCCCAUAUACUAUACCUUCUUGUGUCCCCAUGCAUUGGACACAGAUAGGGCUCCCCAUUGCUCUUAGAAUAAAUGUUCAUGUACCUCUACUUUGUGGCACUUAAACUACAGCUGUGCGUUUUUACACUUACCUGUGCAUGUGUUUUGCUUCCUUGACUUUCUGUAGACUCAAGAGGGCCGCAGUCUUGUAUUGGUGGUGUUUGUUGGUUUGAGUCGUUCCUUACUAUGUUAUCCCCAAAAUUAGCACAACAUCUGGCCUAUAGUGGAAGCUCAGUAAGUAAAUGUUUAAGGAAUUAAUAAAUUUUAGCAUCUCUUGAGACUUUUAUUGAGCUUGUAAUGCAUAGUUAUAGCAUAAAUGGUUGACGAAUGAAAUGGCCAAGCCAUCUGGCUAGAUGCCAAGGUAUAGUGGCUUUGGAAUCUGGACCCUGUCUACUCCAUCUUCUUGUAUUCAAUAUUCAUUCUGAUUUUGUGGUAAUGUAGAAACUUCUUCUUGUUCCUUGUUCCACGGAACACCCUACCCCAGGGGAAACUGAGGAAAGGGGGAGAGGAGAUGGCCCCCACACUCCUGCUGCUUCCUCUGCAAUUUUCCUUUUCCCUUCUCAACCCAGCUUUAGCCAGACGUCUGACCUCUGUACCUCAGUGGAUCCAACCACCUACCUGAUUAGAUGAGAUGAGGUGGGACAAGGACACGGAAGCCCAAAUCAGAAGAGAAAUUUCAAGAGCUUUAGAAAUGAGGACUUCAACUGUGCAGACUUGGGACUUUUCUGGCUUGAGAGGUGGUAUGCUCAGCCAUCAUUCACUCUCAAGGCACUGCAGAUGGUUGGCCCAGCAGAGGCAGACAUUACAGCUUCAGGGCUAAGUCCUUAACUCAUAUUUGCCUCUUGUACUUUGUAUUUAGCUUACGUGGAAAAUGGAUUUUGGAAUCAUUUGUUUCCUUCCUUGAAUUUGCAGGCUAAACUAAAAAACUGCAGGUCAUAUUUUGACUGGCUGGGGGAUGGGCUGGUGAGGAUGAGUGGAGGAAAUUUCAGCAGGCAAUUUGGCAGGUGAGCUGUGGCUUCUGGGGAACAUUUGUGCAAGUCUGAGCUUUGUGACAAUCCCUCAUUGCCUUUCGCCCUAAGUUUCUUUAAAUUUAUUUCUGUUGCUCCUUAGAUACACUUUAGAUAUAAAUAAUGUUUGUUCCUUCUCUCUAUAGUUCAAUAUAUCAUGAAUUCUUCCCUGGCUGACUCACCACUCUGAGGUUGACUUCUUAUCUAGUUAUCACAGAUCCACCACCUGCUCCUUUUUCCUACUUAAUUCUUUCCAUCAUUUUUCCUGCAGCUUGUAUCUUGACAUCUGUCUGGCUCAUGCUAGAAACUUCAGUCAUCCUUGGUCUGUGAUUCGUUCCACGUCCUGUCACUCACCCUCUUCCCCAACCAUUCCCAGGCUAUGUCCCUUUUUCUCCAUACUUUUGCUAGAGUCUCAUGAUCACUUACUCCCUUGACAGCAAAAGAUCCUAACUUGACCCUGAGAGUUCUGCAAGCCAGAAAUACCGUCUGUCUCACCUCUGAUAUAUCUCUGGUUUUCAUCCCACUGCUUGGAACAGAGUGACUGCUCCAGGUGUAUAAUUUGACUGAGUUAUAAGUCUUCCUUUUUCUGGGUUCAUACCCUCACUGCUCUGUUCCACAUCGUUAAUGACUCCCCAUCACCUAUAGACUAAAGCCCACACUACCAAACAUGGAUAUACAAGACUUUCAUUCAUUUGGCCAUGGAUUAACUUUACAUUGUAAUAUUAAUUUUCAUCUUCUAUCACUCUUAUACAUAAAUUCUCCAUUCCAAAUACUGAUAAUUUCUUGUUCUUCCCUAAACCGAAGGAGAGAACUGUUACCAGAAAGGAGUCUUGAUCUAGACCCCAAGAGAGGUUUCUUGGA